UGGUGGAGUGAUUUGUCUGGUUUAUUCCGUUAACGAGCGAGACCUCGACCUGCUAAAUAGUACCGGGCGCGCUUCGGCGCGUGCUGGAGACUUCUUAGAGGGACUAUCGGUGGUUAGCCGGUGGAAGUUCGAGGCAAUAACA
Molecule: ribosomal RNA, 142 nt
Filed under: uncultured eukaryote
Lineage: Eukaryota
Description: partial 18S ribosomal RNA
Rfam family: Eukaryotic small subunit ribosomal RNA
Source: RNAcentral